This 253-nucleotide ribosomal RNA is filed under the name uncultured bacterium. RNAcentral's name for it is "partial 16S ribosomal RNA". It matches the Rfam family "Bacterial small subunit ribosomal RNA", at positions 524 to 776 of the family's 1533-position model. The record is from RNAcentral.
UACGAAGGGGGCUAGCGUUGCUCGGAAUCACUGGGCGUAAAGGGCGCGUAGGCGGCGUUUUAAGUCGGGGGUGAAAGCCUGUGGCUCAACCACAGAAUGGCCUUCGAUACUGGGACGCUUGAGUAUGGCAGAGGUGUGUGGAACUCCGAGUGUAGAGGUGAAAUUCGUAGAUAUUCGGAAGAACACCAGUGGCGAAGGCGACACACUGGGCCAUUACUGACGCUGAGGCGCGAAAGCGUGGGGAGCAAACAGG